AAUAGUUUUAUGUCACAUCAGUAUUCUUAUCCUGAAUUUCAGGAUUUUAUCCUGAAAAAAAUCAAAUCCAAAUUAAAAUACUGAAAUUCAGGAUAAGAAUACUGAUAUGGCAUAAAACUAUU
Molecule: microRNA precursor, 122 nt
Filed under: Gossypium hirsutum (cotton)
Lineage: Eukaryota; Viridiplantae; Streptophyta; Magnoliopsida; Malvales; Malvaceae
Description: MIR7504 microRNA precursor family
Rfam family: MIR7504 microRNA precursor family
Source: Rfam by way of RNAcentral